This 371-nucleotide ribosomal RNA is filed under the name uncultured bacterium. RNAcentral describes it as "bacterial SSU rRNA". It matches the Rfam family "Bacterial small subunit ribosomal RNA", at positions 30 to 402 of the family's 1533-position model. The record is from RNAcentral.
AUUGAACGCUGGCGGCAUGCCUUACACAUGCAAGUCGAACGGCAGCACGGGAGCAAUCCUGGUGGCGAGUGGCGAACGGGUGAGUAAUAUAUCGGAACGUGCCCAGUCGUGGGGAUAACGUAGCGAAAGCUACGCUAAUACCGCAUACGAUCUAUGGAUGAAAGCGGGGGAUCGCAAGACCUCGCGCGAUUGGAGCGGCCGAUAUCAGAUUAGGUAGUUGGUGAGGUAAAGGACUCACCAAGCCGACGAUCUGUAGCUGGUCUGAGAGGACGACCAGCCACACUGGGACUGAGACACGGCCCAGACUCCUACGGAGGCAGCAGUGGGGAAUUUUGGACAAUGGGCGCAAGCCUGAUCCAGCAAUGCCGCGU